UUCGUUGUAGCUCAGUGGAAGAGCAGUUCUGGUAUUUUACCGGAAAAGGCCAUGAGUUCGAUUCUCAUCAUCGGUA
RNAcentral lists this transfer RNA (76 nucleotides) under Chitinophaga sp. YR573. RNAcentral describes it as "tRNA_Leu_CAG". It matches the Rfam family "tRNA". From Rfam's summary of the family: Transfer RNA (tRNA) molecules are approximately 80 nucleotides in length. Their secondary structure includes four short double-helical elements and three loops (D, anti-codon, and T loops). Further hydrogen bonds mediate the characteristic L-shaped molecular structure. tRNAs have two regions of fundamental functional importance: the anti-codon, which is responsible for specific mRNA codon recognition, and the 3' end, to which the tRNAs corresponding amino acid is attached (by aminoacyl-tRNA synthetases). tRNAs cope with the degeneracy of the genetic code in two manners: having more than one tRNA (with a specific anti-codon) for a particular amino acid; and 'wobble' base-pairing, i.e. permitting non-standard base-pairing at the 3rd anti-codon position. The record is from RNAcentral. Lineage: Bacteria; Pseudomonadati; Bacteroidota; Chitinophagia; Chitinophagales; Chitinophagaceae.